CCUACGGGAGGCAGCAGUGGGGAAUUUUGGACAAUGGGCGAAAGCCUGAUCCAGCAAUGCCGCGUGUGGGAAGAAGGCCUUCGGGUUGUAAACCACUUUUGUACGGAACGAAAAGGUCUGCUUUAAUAAAGCGGGCUCAUGACGGUACCGUAAGAAUAAGCACCGGCUAACUACGUGCCAGCAGCCGCGGUAAUACGUAGGGUGCGAGCGUUAAUCGGAAUUACUGGGCGUAAAGCGUGCGCAGGCGGUUAUAUAAGACAGUUGUGAAAUCCCCGGGCUCAACCUGGGAAUUGCAUCUGUGACUGUAUAGCUAGAGUACGGUAGAGGGGGAUGGAAUUCCGCGUGUAGCAGUGAAAUGCGUAGAUAUGCGGAGGAACACCGAUGGCGAAGGCAAUCCCCUGGACCUGUACUGACGCUCAUGCACGAAAGCGUGGGGAGCAAACAGGAUUAGAUACCCUGGUAGUCCACGCCCUAAACGAUGUCAACUGGUUGUUGGGUGCAUUAGUACUCAGUAACGAAGCCAACGCGUGAAGUUGACCGCCUGGGGGAGGACGGCGCGAAGGUAGUAACGUUACAAGUAGAGUUAGUACGGCGNGAGACGNGCGACGGACGACGACGAGGGAGGAGG
This 628-nucleotide ribosomal RNA is filed under the name uncultured bacterium. RNAcentral describes it as "bacterial SSU rRNA". The stretch from base 1 to 542 matches the Rfam family "Bacterial small subunit ribosomal RNA", at positions 338 to 873 of the family's 1533-position model. The record is from RNAcentral.